ACCACUGCAUCAUUAAAGGGGAUUAAAAAGAGGCAUAAAUAAAUCUGAAUAGAAAUAUCCAUUUUCCUGGGUUUUAUCCUUCUGUACAAGCCCAAUUCUAGGGUUAAAAUGAUACUCUGGUUUGCCUCUAUAAGCAAGAAAUUCCUUAGCAGCAGCUCAAAAAUGACCUUAAUGUCUGGGUGAAACAUACUUCUUCACCUGUGGACACUCAGAGCUCCCAUCUCUGUCAGACACGCGUCACCUCUGCUAACACACCCAGGCAUCUCCAGGAGGACAGGGAACUGUCAUCCUCUCCAAGAUGGCUCUGCUCCACCCAACCCAGGCUUUCCUAAAGCCCCAAACUCCACACGGGAGGCAACGCCUGAUGAAGCAACGUUCCCGCCACAGCAUCCACCUUAACCUUCCAAACGCCACUGCUGUGAAGAGGAGCCAUCGCAGAUCGCCAUGGCGACAAAGCCCUUCUGACCCAGGGGAUCCACUGCUCUCAGGCACUGUCCAGCCGACACCUGGUAUAGCCGAUUGUUUUUCUGAAAAAAAGGUAGCAAGAAAAAAAUACUGCCAAUUACUGGCAAAACAUGGAAAUCCAGAGGAGAUAUGGAGCAUUUAAGAAUUCAGAUUAAGGGAUACAAUAGUCCCCUCUUAUCCAAAGAGAAAACAAACAGGCUGUUGGGCUACAGCGAUCCGCCCACCUCAGCCUUCUCAAUGCUGGGAUUACAGGCGGGAGCCACUGCGCAACCACGGUGACAGAGGAGCCCGACACCCUCUGGCUGACCCUCUGGAGACAGAAGGGCACACGGCUGCCAUUUUCACCGAUUCCUCAUCGGUGGGGCAGUCGGGAAGUGCACAGGCUGAAUCACAGAUGAUCUUCAGGAACACAACUGGGUG
Molecule: long non-coding RNA, 885 nt
Organism: Pongo pygmaeus (Bornean orangutan)
Lineage: Eukaryota; Metazoa; Chordata; Mammalia; Primates; Hominidae
Exons: 3
Source: RefSeq, a predicted model, not a curated record